CCUGCUCUGCUGGUGUGACCUCGCACUCACCAUGCAUAUGAGUCCCCCAUUCAAUACCAAAAUCCACAUGGGCAAAGCCACAUCCAGUUUUGUCCCAGUACUGGACAGGGGACAAAUCAGCCAUAAAGAGGACUGUUUGAUAGAAAACUGGACAAGUAGCCUCCCAGGAUGGGAAUGUUUUUCCUGAUAUGACAUGCAGAGCCAAUGUAAAGUCAUUGAAACCACUGGUACCAAGAAGUAAAUUUGCCUGUCAUAAAAUGACAUGAAAGUAGUCUACAGCUCUUCCAUAGCAACAGUCCCUCCAGUUACAAAAAUACUUUCUUUAAAUGAGUUGGAUGCUGUUCUCAAGCAAGUGCAAACAUGAAGAUCAAGCAAAGAAAAAGAGAACAUCCUGCUUUUAAGACCGUCCUAUGGGACCAAAGGUACUCAUCUACCUACUGUGUAAAUGGCUCCCCACCACUGUCAUACCUGAACACCUCAAAUGGAAGUGGAAUUAUCAUCACAACAGAUGACAAAGAAACCGGCCGUUUGGACCUUAAGGACCUGACAUGAGAAUUUGGUCAGCAAUGUUGCUGGGAACAUGUGAAAAGUGCUGUGAACUUCAAGAAAACCAGGAAGGAAGAGUGCAAGAAACUUAAAAUAGACAUCUAACUCCAGACCAUUACUGUGCACAACUCUGGUCACUAGAACAGAUUACUAUUUGCCUUUGGUUUUUA
Molecule: long non-coding RNA, 716 nt
Organism: Mauremys mutica (yellowpond turtle)
Lineage: Eukaryota; Metazoa; Chordata; Testudines; Geoemydidae
Exons: 5
Source: RefSeq, a predicted model, not a curated record